CCCACACAUGGUGGAUAAAUCUUAAAAGAA
This 30-nucleotide non-coding RNA is filed under the name Mus musculus (house mouse). The record is from RNAcentral. Lineage: Eukaryota; Metazoa; Chordata; Mammalia; Rodentia; Muridae.